AUUACCGAGUGAGGGCCCUCUGGGUCCAACCUCCCACCCGUGUUUAUUUUACCUUGUUGCUUCGGCGGGCCCGCCUUAACUGGCCGCCGGGGGGCUUACGCCCCCGGGCCCGCGCCCGCCGAAGACACCCUCGAACUCUGUCUGAAGAUUGUAGUCUGAGUGAAAAUAUAAAUUAUUUAAAACUUUCAACAACGGAUCUCUUGGUUCCGGCAUCGAUGAAGAACGCAGCGAAAUGCGAUACGUAAUGUGAAUUGCAAAUUCAGUGAAUCAUCGAGUCUUUGAACGCACAUUGCGCCCCCUGGUAUUCCGGGGGGCAUGCCUGUCCGAGCGUCAUUGCUGCCCUCAAGCACGGCUUGUGUGUUGGGCCCCGUCCUCCGAUCCCGGGGGACGGGCCCGAAAGGCAGCGGCGGCACCGCGUCCGGUCCUCGAGCGUAUGGGGCUUUGUCACCCGCUCUGUAGGCCCGGCCGGCGCUUGCCGAUCAACCCAAAUUUUUAUCCAGGUUGACCUCGGAUCAGGUAGGGAUACCCGCUGAACUUAAGCAUAUCAAUAAGCGGAGGAAAAGAAACCAACAGGGAUUGCCCCAGUAACGGCGAGUGAAGCGGCAAGAGCUCAAAUUUGAAAGCUGGCUCCUUCGGGGUCCGCAUUGUAAUUUGUAGAGGAUGCUUCGGGAGCGGUCCCCAUCUAAGUGCCCUGGAACGGGACGUCAUAGAGGGUGAGAAUCCCGUAUGGG
This 731-nucleotide ribosomal RNA is filed under the name fungal sp. RNAcentral's name for it is "eukaryotic LSU rRNA". The stretch from base 503 to 731 matches the Rfam family "Eukaryotic large subunit ribosomal RNA", at positions 1 to 229 of the family's 3401-position model. Lineage: Eukaryota; Fungi. The record is from RNAcentral.